GCAUUGAAAGCUGGCGUCUUCGGCGUCCGCAUUGUAAUCUCAAGAAGUGUUUUCCGCUUCGGACCAUGCCUAAGUCCCUUGGAAAAGGGCAUCAUAGAGGGUGAUAAUCCCGUACAUGGCAUGGAGCGCCCGAAGCUUUGUGAUACGCUUUCUAAGAGUCGAGUUGUUUGGGAAUGCAGCUCAAAAUGGGUGGUAAAUGCCAUCUAAGGCUAAAUAUUGGGGAGAGACCGAUAGCGAACAAGUACAGUGAUGGAAAGAUGAAAAGAACUUUGAAAAGAGAGUUAAACAGUACGUGAAAUUGCCAAAAGGGAAGGGUAGGAGGUCAGAGAUGCGGCCUGGGAUUCAGCCUUGCUUUUGCUUGGUGUUUUUCCCAGAUUGCAGGCCAACGUCGGUUUUGGGCACUGGAGAAGGGUAGGAGGAACGUGGCACCUCUCGGGGUGUGUUAUAGCCUCCUACUGGAUACAGCGACCGAGACCGAGGACAGCAGCGUACUCGCAAGAGCGGGCUCUUCGGGCACCUUUACGCUUAGGGCGUUGGCAUAAUGGCCCUCUACCAC
This 556-nucleotide ribosomal RNA is filed under the name Dirkmeia churashimaensis. RNAcentral describes it as "partial large subunit ribosomal RNA". It matches the Rfam family "Eukaryotic large subunit ribosomal RNA", at positions 112 to 648 of the family's 3401-position model. Lineage: Eukaryota; Fungi; Basidiomycota; Ustilaginomycetes; Ustilaginales; Ustilaginaceae. The record is from RNAcentral.